UUCUGCUUUCACUUUCUUUCCUCUCUUGUUGGAAACCUUCGUUGUUUAUUUUAUUUUAACGCAUCUUUCUCUCCUCUUGAGAUUUUGUUUUGACCCAAGAAAAAGCCUCAAAAUCCCGACACUGUGCUGAGAGAGAGAAAGACACACACACAGAGAGUUGUGUGUGUGUGGCCUGGAGCUGAUGAUGAAUGUGGCUGGGAUUGAUAAAUCAACCAUGUGUAUAUUUCACCCUAUUUCUGUCUUGCACUAUUUUCGCCAGUUCCAAAUGAUAUGUGAAUGGUGUAGAACUUCUAACCGAGACAAAAUACGAGGGGAAAAAAGCAAUCUGUUUCUGAAGAAGGGUCUAGGCCCGAAACGUCAGCCUUCCUGCUCCUCUGGUGCUGCUUGGCCUGCUGUGUUCAUCCAGCUCUACACCUUGUUGUCUCGGUUUCUACCCGUCGUCUUUAUACAGUAAAUUUGCCUUUUGGUGAAAUUCUUUUUAUACUUUGUAUAAAAUGUGGAAAUUUUAUAUUUUAAGAAGUGGUUUGCUAUAUAUUUCUCACCAUAGAAAUUCUUUUGAAUCUUUUAGUAAUUGCAUCUGUCAGGCUUGUGUAACUGCAUUGGUGUUAAUCUUUGAAAUUUAUUUAUACUGGUAUGAUCAUUUAUCUUACUGUCCAACUGUAAUCUUAUUUUGAUUCUUGAUUUAAUUAAUAUCAUGUAACAGGCGGCUGCAACUAGAAACAAAGCAGUAAUGGAAGAAUUGUGAUGAUGUCAUAAAUUUGGCAGAGGUCCUCAGCAUAGCCAGGAAUUUCCAGGAUUUCUUUCGUGGGUAGAAUAUUUAAAGCCCAGCUGUACAAGGCAAUCGCUGCUUAUAGAGCAUGCCCUGAACUGUUGGGCACUGCUGGCUAACAUGGAAGCCCAGAGGAGGAGCAUGCUGUGAACUGGAGUCACCAAGUAACUGCCUUUCAUGUCAGGAAUUGCCAUUGUUUAGUGUGCCUUCACUGAAUAAGAUAUAGUAGACUGCAUGCUGGUGAGAUGAGAAUAGGUAAUAAUGAGAGGUAAAUGAAGACAAAUAGGCUUCUUGGCACUCACUAGCAAGAUACUCAUCUCACCAUUCAACCCUUGAGUGGAAAAUCAGACUUUUUUUCUCAACAUCAGGAAGCUGAUUUUUUUCCAAUUUCACCCUAUUUUCCCAAAAGACUCAUCAUUGCACGGGUCCUUCAAGAGACUGACAAAAUUCAGUCCCAGGUUUUUUCCAAUUCCAUUCAGGAGAAUCUGUUACCUUCAGUGCUGUCACCUUCAAAAGUGGUGUCUAGGCUAUGGAACUUCCAGGGCAGGAGAUUUUGGAUCAAAAUGUUCAAGUUGUUAGAACUGAGAAUAUUUAAGCUAUUAGAAUUGUGAGAGGUUCAUGCCAGUGCGCUUGGAAAGGAAUCCUAAAAUAAAGUCUCAACAGUCCAAGGGAAAGAAACUGGAAAGUAUCAAUUAAGUGAAGAUUUGAAAAGCUGAGAAAGGAAAGUUAUUCCCCUGGGAUUGAUUGUAACAGAUGGUGUUGGGAACAGGUUGAAACUUUGCUUUUAUGAUAGUGUUAAGAUCUUUUUAACUGCAGCAUAUAUUUACAUAUUAAGUUUUUUUUCUCUUUUGUGCAAAACAUUUCUGUUGUUAAAGAAUAUCUGCAGAGUCAUGUAAAUUUGUUUCAGUGACCAACCACCACAUUAUCCAAUUACAAAUAUUAGAAUUAUCAAGCCAGGUUUUAUUUUGGAAUUUGACUUGUUCAGCUGGGAUCAUAACAAAAUCUCCAAAAAUAAUUAGGAGCUGAAAGAUUGAUAUACCACACUUUCAAUAGUUAAUUUUCAAAGAAGAACUGUAAUUCUUAGGCUUACCAUAUUCCACCCUAGCCGAUUUAUUAUGCAAAUUUGAACGUUUGUAUCUCCUUUCCAUUUCUUGAAGCCUACUUAUCUGGGGACAAUAUUCCUACAUAUUGAGGGGUAAGUGUGAUAACUACACACAAAUGACAAAAACAUGAGCUAUUUACUCUCUGUUAGGCCUCCGCAUACAGAGAAGAAGGCAAGGGAAAUGUUGACCUAGUGGUAUUAUUGCUGGUUUAUUAGCCCAGAAACCCGGCUCAUGUGCAGGGGUCCUGGGUUCUAGUCCCACUAUGGCAAAUGGUAAAAUUUAAAUUCAAUAACUAUCUGGAAUUAAGAGUCUAACAAUGACCAAACCACUAUCGAUUGCAGGGAAAAAUCCAUCUAGUUCAUUAAUAUCCUUCAGGGAAAGAAAUCUGCCAUCCUUACCUGGUCUGGCCUACGUAUGACUCCAGACUACAGGGAAUUAUGGUCGGUCAACUGCCCUCUGAAAUGGUCUAGAAAACCAUUCAGUUGUAACAAUCGGUAUGAAGUCUGAACAGCGCAUGCACUUCAGCGGUUCAAAAAUGCUGACUCAGCCAGCAAUGUCCACAUCUCAUGAGUGAACUUAAAAAAAUACAAAAUGCAGAAUCAUUCACUCAAAUGAAAUUUUUCUUUAACAAAUAAAUCUCAGUUUUCAUUUUUCCCCGAUGCAAUAACCUUGCUACACGUGGGUGGGAGUGGAACACAUAGGAACAUUAACAGAAGACUGUAGAAAAUUUUCCAACUUUUAUGUCUUAGUCUGAUUUUUCCAAUCCUGAGACCAAAAUAGCUCCAAAUACAUAGGAGUGCUAACAUUACUUAUAGGUCAACUUCACAGAAUUUCCCAAGGUUGACCUAAUUAUGAAUGUACAGUGAGUCUCCAAUCUAGAUUGGAAUUGCCACUUUCUGCAGAAGUGAGACAUAAUUCUCAAUAGUAGCUUUUAAUGGGUGCAGCUUUGACAGUGUUGCUAAUAGAAUCUAAAAAUGCUUGGCAAAAACACAGAACAUUUGAAUUUCCUAGCGUUGGUUUCUGCCAGAAGUGUAGCAACGGAAGACAGUCAUCACAACCUACUUGCUGUGCUCGUCUAUAGAAGAGGCUUAUGAUCUGCAUUGUGAGUGCAGGUGCUAUGUUUCAAAAAAAAAACAAGGCAGAAGGUGAGAAAACAAAUAUUAACGAUUGCGGUCUUCAUGUAAUUAC
Molecule: long non-coding RNA, 3060 nt
Organism: Rhincodon typus (whale shark)
Lineage: Eukaryota; Metazoa; Chordata; Chondrichthyes; Orectolobiformes; Rhincodontidae
Exons: 3
Source: RefSeq, a predicted model, not a curated record